UUACGGGACGAGCGCAUUUAUAAGACCAAAACCAAUCGGGCUUCGGCCUGAACGGUGGUGACUCUGAAUAACUGAGCUGAUCGCAUGGUCUUUGUACCGGCGACGCAUCUUUCAAGUGUCUGCCUUAUCAACUUUCGAUGGUAGUUUAUGUGCCUACCAUGGUUGUUACGGGUAACGGAGAAUAAGGGUUCGACUCCGGAGAGGGAGCCUGAGAAACGGCUACCACAUCCAAGGAAGGCAGCAGGCGCGCAAAUUACCCACUCUCGGCACGAGGAGGUAGUGACGAAAAAUAACGAGGCGGUUCUCUAAGAGGCCCGCUAUCGGAAUGGGUACAAUUUAAACCCUUUAACGAGGACCUAUGAGAGGGCAAGUCUGGUGCCAGCAGCCGCGGUAAUUCCAGCUCUCAAGGUGUAUAUCGCCAUUGCUGCGGUUAAAAAGCUCGUAGUUGGAUCUGCGCCUUCGGACUCGGUCCGCCCAACGGGUGUGAACUGAGAUCCAAGGCUUAUACUGCUGGUUUUCCCUUGAUGCUCUUUACUGGGUGUCUUGGGUGGCUAGCGAGUUUACUUUGAAAAAAUUAGAGUGCUUAACACAGGCUAUCGCCUGAAUACUUGUGCAUGGAAUAAUAGAAUAAGACCACGGCUCUUUUUUAUUGGUUUUCGGAACUGUGAUAAUGGUAAGAGGGACAGCACGGGGGGCAU
RNAcentral lists this ribosomal RNA (698 nucleotides) under Plectus parietinus. RNAcentral's name for it is "SSU rRNA". It matches the Rfam family "Eukaryotic small subunit ribosomal RNA", at positions 190 to 892 of the family's 1831-position model. Lineage: Eukaryota; Metazoa; Nematoda; Chromadorea; Plectida; Plectidae. The record is from RNAcentral.